GGCGAUUCUCAGGUGACGCACCCGGAAUCAGGCUCCCUCCUCUCUGGUUCCGAUCACCCAAGAACCACA
Myotis brandtii (Brandt's bat) is the source of this 69-nucleotide non-coding RNA. The record is from Rfam. NCBI's taxonomy places the organism in Eukaryota, Metazoa, Chordata, Mammalia, Chiroptera, Vespertilionidae.